RNAcentral lists this ribosomal RNA (498 nucleotides) under uncultured bacterium. RNAcentral describes it as "partial 16S ribosomal RNA". It matches the Rfam family "Bacterial small subunit ribosomal RNA", at positions 28 to 506 of the family's 1533-position model. The record is from RNAcentral.
GAUGAACGCUGGCGGCGUGCCUAAUACAUGCAAGUCGAGCGAACAGACGAGAGUGCUUGCACUCUCUGACGUUAGCGGCGGACGGGUGAGUAACACGUGGGUAACCUACCUAUAAGACUGGGAUAACUUCGGGAAACCGGAGCUAAUACCGGAUAAUAUUUAGCUUCGCAUGAAGCAAUAGUGAAAGACGGUUCUGCUGUCACUUAUAGAUGGACCCGCGGUGUAUUAGCUAGUUGGUGAGGUAACGGCUCACCAAGGCAACGAUACAUAGCCGACCUGAGAGGGUGAUCGGCCACACUGGGACUGAGACACGGCCCAGACUCCUACGGGAGGCAGCAGUAGGGAAUCUUCCGCAAUGGACGAAAGUCUGACGGAGCAAUGCCGCGUGAGUGAAGAAGGUUUUCGGAUCGUAAAACUCUGUUGUAAGGGAAGAACAAGUACGUUAGUAACUGAACGUACCUUGACGGUACCUUACCAGAAAGCCACGGCGAACUACGU